Molecule: long non-coding RNA, 1418 nt
Filed under: Apteryx rowi (Okarito brown kiwi)
Lineage: Eukaryota; Metazoa; Chordata; Aves; Apterygiformes; Apterygidae
Description: lncRNA (ENSARWG00000012810.1)
Source: RNAcentral
CCAUGCCAGCUCCUCAAAAUUGUAGUAAGUUAAGGCUGGUUUCUCUCUCUCUUUAAAUCGUGUGCAUUUGUCUGACCCCAGCAAGUGGUGUGAUGUGCUUUCACCAUACGGCUGCUUAAACUAACAGUUAUCUUUGGCAGAUAGUAUAACUGCUCAGGCUCUUUUAUAUGUCUGGGGUUCUUACUGUGGUCAGCGCUUCUAGUAUAGCCCAACCUAAAUGAUCUGAGGAGAAAAUAUGGAAAUAAAAUGAUUUUUUCCAGUACUGAACAAAUGGGCUUAGUAGUUAUUAACGUUUUACAAGCAUUUAAGGUUCUCAUUAGUACUUUGAAGCAGAGCUGCCAUUGUUAACAUUGUUGAUGUCUCCAUUGUAAAAAAAUAACCUUUAAAGUUUACUAUUUUGGCUCCUUGAAACAGUAUUCAAAUCCAAGUUCAUUUUUCAUGUCUCUGUAAAAUUGUUCUAUAUAUAUAUUUUUUUACAGAGGCAUUUGGGAUUAAUAUCAUUUCUUUUGUUGAUGUUGCUGCUAGACUCCAUAAUCAUUGCUGACAGUCAGCUUAGAAGAUCAGAGAAGUGGAAUGGAAACCUUCUUGGCUCCACUUGUAGGAGGAAAGGGCAUUGCAGACCACAUAACUGAGGAGGAAGCUUGUGUGAUCAGGAACAAAUGUUCUAUGACAUUCUGAGUGGAAGAAACCUCUAGAAGACAUCAGGCAAAUCCAGGGUUUGGUCAUAUUCACAAAAUAUCUUAAAAACUUCCUUUGUGUGAAAGCAUUUACUGCAAAUAUGUUAGUUGUAUUUUUAUUAGAAAAGGCAGGAUUUAGAGGGAAAUGUAAAAUGUUUUAUUAAACUAGCUGUUACUGAUGGAGAAGUUAGAAAAGCUUUUGGGUGUAUCAGCUUUCCUCCAGGCUUACAUCACUGAAUGCUUUUCUUUAUUUUUCCCUCUGCAUUAGUUACUCAUCAUAAAAUAUAUUCUCACCGUUCAAACAUAUCUUUUGUUUGAAAUCUCUUGCUGUAUUUUCACCCCUGCCAACCUAACCUGUCUCAACUUACUCUACAUUCCCACUAGACUCAUUGCUACUGCUACUCAUUGUAGGUGCUGCCAUUUUUUCACUAGCUAGUUUAAUAAUUUUUCUAACUGUUUAAAAUGUUCUUAUUUUAUACAGUUUUCUUUUAAUAGUUAUUGUUUUCAAAAGUCCUCACAUAAAUUGGAGAGUUUUAGUCAGUAAAACAAAAAGUUAAACAUAUUUAUGUCUAAGUUUUGAAAGGAAAAGUUUUUUUAAAAAAAAUUUAUUUAGGACUAUUAUGCUUAAGAUUUUUCAUGUUCCAGAUAUCUAGAGAUGGAUCUGAAUCAAAACAUCAUAUCAAAAUACUCAGAAAGUCGGGCAAUUCACCAACCCUGAUUUGUAUUAAAACAAAUGUGCAA